GAGUGUUUCCAGCACUAGCACACUGGAUCCCAUCAGAACUCCGAAAUUAAGCGUGCUUGGGCAAGAGUAUUACCAGGAAGGGUAACCCCCUGGGAAGUCGUCAUGUUGCACCCC
This 114-nucleotide ribosomal RNA is filed under the name Olea europaea subsp. europaea. The record is from RNAcentral. Lineage: Eukaryota; Viridiplantae; Streptophyta; Magnoliopsida; Lamiales; Oleaceae.